AGUGAACGCUGGCGGUAGGCCUAACACAUGCAAGUCGAACGGCAGCACAGUAAGAGCUUGCUCUUACGGGUGGCGAGUGGCGGACGGGUGAGGAAUACAUCGGAAUCUACUUUUUCGUGGGGGAUAACGUAGGGAAACUUACGCUAAUACCGCAUACGACCUACGGGUGAAAGCAGGGGAUCUUCGGAUCUUGCGCGAUUGAAUGAGCCGAGUCGGAUUAGCUAGUUGGCGGGGUAAAGGCCCACCAAGGCGACGAUCCGUAGCUGGUCUGAGAGGAUGAUCAGCCACACUGGAACUGAGACACGGUCCAGACUCCUACGGGAGGCAGCAGUGGGGAAUAUUGGACAAUGGGCGCAAGCCUGAUCCAGCCAUACCGCGUGGGUGAAGAAGGCCUUCGGGUUGUAAAGCCCUUUUGUUGGGAAAGAAAAGCAGCAGGUUAAUACCCCGCUGUUCUGACGGUACCCAAAGAAUAAGCACCGGCUAACUUCGUG
This 491-nucleotide ribosomal RNA is filed under the name uncultured bacterium. RNAcentral describes it as "partial 16S ribosomal RNA". It matches the Rfam family "Bacterial small subunit ribosomal RNA", at positions 29 to 507 of the family's 1533-position model. The record is from RNAcentral.